This is a long non-coding RNA of Vicia villosa (hairy vetch), 749 nucleotides long. RefSeq lists it as uncharacterized. The record is from RefSeq and is a predicted model, not a curated record. NCBI's taxonomy places the organism in Eukaryota, Viridiplantae, Streptophyta, Magnoliopsida, Fabales, Fabaceae. The transcript is spliced from 5 exons.
CCUCACGUAGUGUCUUAAUUAUGUCUCUCUUUCAGGAUGAAGACGGGAACAAGAUGUUAAAUGAAUACAUUCGAGAGUAUAAGAUUGGUCCUGGUAGCUAUGCCAAAGUGGGUCUUUACCAAAGUAGUGUUGAUGGACGACAUUAUGCAAUUAAGUCCUUUCAUAGGUCUCACUUGCGAAAGCUUCGAGUUUCCCCAUCUGAGACUGCCAUGACGGAUGUACUACGUGAGGUAUAUAAUUGGAUAGUGUUUUUGUGCAGCUGUUGACUGUGAAGAUAAUUCUUGAAAGGGACGAUGAAGAUGACGAUGAUGAUUCCAAUGGUAACCACCAGGAACCGAAAGAGAAGAAACACAUUUUCAAACUCGAGAUACUAGCAGGAAAUGCGAGAAAGGUGAGCGCUGUUCGGUUUGAAACGCUUAAUAUAUUUUAUGGUCUUACUGGAAUCCCUUAGGGUUAAUUGUUGAUAUAUAUGCAAAGGGACGGUCGAUGAGCUUUCUCAGAUGAUGCACUUUGAGCAGUGUUUACACAGCGGCAUUGUGGUCGUACAUGUUAAUUCCAAAAAUGAUAUUAAAGCUGUGGGUUACAUCAAUGUCAGCAACAUUUUAUCUGGAAAGUGUCUUGCUGAAAGGAAAUAUCUAUAUGGAAUUUCAUUGUAAUGCCUUUUUGGUAUCAAGAGGAAUGUGAAUGUGAAUGCUUUUCAAUGAGAGAAUUAUUCGAAUGACUCAGUCAAUUGUUUAGAUUUCCCAAGA